RNAcentral lists this long non-coding RNA (599 nucleotides) under Arabidopsis lyrata. RNAcentral's name for it is "long non-coding RNA (ALYR_LNC002174)". Lineage: Eukaryota; Viridiplantae; Streptophyta; Magnoliopsida; Brassicales; Brassicaceae. The record is from RNAcentral.
CCAAUUUCAAACCCCUCGUUUCACGAGAAGCAUCCUCAUCGUUCGUCACACGCUCCGCCGCCGAGCCACAAGAGAGAAAAACCUUCCAUGGACUCUGCUAUGUCGUCGGUGACAACAUCGACACUGACCAAAUCAUUCCCGCAGAGUUUCUCACUCUCGUCCCUUCGAAUCCAGAAGAAUACGAGAAACUCGGUUCCUACGCUCUAGUUGGUCUUCCAGCUUCUUACAAGGAACGAUUCGUCCAGCCAGGAGAGAUGAAGACGAAGUACUCAAUCAUCAUCGGCGGCGAAAACUUCGGAUGUGGAUCGUCACGUGAACAUGCUCCGGUUUGUUUAGGAGCAGCCGGAGCUAAAGCAGUGGUGGCUCAAUCUUAUGCUAGAAUCUUUUUCAGGAACUCUGUGGCUACAGGUGAGGUUUAUCCGUUGGAUUCGGAGGUUAGGGUUUGUGAUGAGUGUAAAACUGGUGAUGUUGCGACGGUUGAGUUGAGGGAAGGUGAUAGUAUUCUGAUCAAUCAUACGACGGGGAAAGAGUAUAAGCUUAAGCCGAUUGGUGAUGCUGGACCAGUUAUUGAUGCUGGUGGUAUAUUUGCUUAUGCUAGG